GCCCAACUCAGUUGGUUAUAGUGUGGUGCUGAUAAUGCCAAGGUUGCAGGUUUGAUCCCUGUAUGGGACA
RNAcentral lists this transfer RNA (70 nucleotides) under Podarcis lilfordi (Lilford's wall lizard). RNAcentral's name for it is "tRNA.Ile". The record is from RNAcentral. Lineage: Eukaryota; Metazoa; Chordata; Lepidosauria; Squamata; Lacertidae.